CCUAUUCAUCCUUCAAAACCCAGCUCAGGUGUCAACAACUGCAGGAAAAUUUUCCUAACCAUACUUUGUCUCCUGAAAUGUGUAAGGUUUCCCUCCCCUAUGUCCCCAUUUCACUCCACAAGACUUCUAUCAUGGCCUGAUCUCUCUAUCUGAUGACUAAGGAUUCCUCACGUCACCUAAACUCUUGCAUCACUUCUCUACUGUGUAUUUGGGAGUAAUUUCUGUUCCAGAGUUGAUUCACACUCAGCUGCUUCUUUGUGGUCACUAUCUUCUAAGCUGCUUUCUGCUUCACUUCUUGGAAGUGAUCUCUUUUCUCCCUUAAUACCCUGUCAUCACCAGCAUGUGCAUCUCAAAGCAUGAAGAGUGAGUGUUUCACAGACUUGUGUUGACUGUUGCGGAAGCGCUGGUGACCAUUGGAGCAGCAUCUCCCAGGAUUGAGGAAACCGUCAUUUGAAGAGAGGGCUCCUAUGCCUGGAACACAAUACGUGUCUCAGAAGGCCACUCACUGCAUGAAUGGAAAGGAGGCUAGAUGGAAGAAUUUACUGUAUAUAGUAAUAAAUAUAAAACACAUGAAAAUUGAGUGAAAUUUCUGAGAAAUACCUUAAUUAAAGUGAUUAAGCAGCAGCUCCGGACUGAAGAUGAGAUUCUGUAACAGUCUCCCUGCUUCUGCUGAGCAUCAGAUGGUCCAGAAUGUUUCACAGACCCUUAACUGGUCUCCAAGCUUCUAAUUCUUCAGGCGCCGCCCCCUCCGCCCCCUGCCACAAACCCCAGCCUCAGGAGUGAUUUUCCUAUUAAAAAAAAAAUGAUCAGAUUUUGUGAGCCUUCUAUUUAAAAUGUCAGUUGGUUCCUUGUCAACAAUGAGGGAUUGUUAACACUCCUUUUGAUGCUGCUCAAAUUCCUUCAUGAUCUCUUAUUUUUAAAAAAGAAGGAAAAAAAA
This 937-nucleotide long non-coding RNA is filed under the name Bos indicus x Bos taurus (hybrid cattle). RNAcentral's name for it is "lncRNA (ENSBIXG00005024935.1)". Lineage: Eukaryota; Metazoa; Chordata; Mammalia; Artiodactyla; Bovidae. The record is from RNAcentral.